AUGUGCGGCGGAGGGAACCUCCCGGAUGUCGAGGUUCCCGCAGUGAGGCGGAAGGUGAUGAAGGCAGUGUUGUGGCCCGAGAAGAAACAACCCCGAUGGAGCGCCAGUGGGGGCCAACACUUAAUGGGGCUCGGCGGGCGCCGGGGACUUGGGCUGGACGACGAGGAUGAGGACUUAGAGGCCGACUACAAGGAGUUCAAGGCCAACUACGGGGACUCCAACCUGGAGCUCCAGCGUGGUGGGGUGUCUGAGAAGGAUGACGAUGACGAGGUCAUCGAGACCAAGCCCUUUGUCGCCAUCAAGACGUCGCUCUCCCAAGAUGACUUAAGCACUAUGAGUACCGCUGGUUUUGAUGGUCCUUCAGAAAGGCCAGCAAAAAGGAAGAGAAAGAACGAAUUCAGGGGUAUCCGUCAGCGCCCCUCGGGUAAGUGGGCUGCUGAAAUCAGAGAUCCUAGCAAGGGUUUCCGUGUCUGGCUUGGUACUUUCAACAUUGCUGAAGAAGCCGCAAGAGCUUAUGAUGUUGAAGCACGUAGGAUCCAUGGCAAGAAGGCCAAGUCUGUUGACGUUGCAUCAAACCAGCCACUUGUUCAGCUUGAUAAUGUGUCAUUUGUUCCUGCAAUGAACUCCGCUACCCCUAUUGAAGCUCCUGUUAUGAGCAUGUACUCUAACCGGGGAAGCAACACGUUUGGCUGCUUUGACUUGGGCUGGGAAUAUGACAUCAAGACUCCAGAUAUAUCAUCCAUUGCUCUCAUAUCCACCAUUGUUGAAGGAGCAGAAUCUGCACUUGUCCAGAGUAACACCUACAACCCAGUGGUGAUUGUUGAAGGAGCUGAACUUGCGCUUGUCCAGAGUAACACCUACAACUCAAUGGUGCCUCCUGUUAUGGAGAACGAUGCUGUCGAUUUUGAAGCUUCGAGGUUUUUUAUGAAUGAUGGUGUGGAUGAGCUGAUUGAUAGCCUUCUGAAUUUUGAUGUGCCUCAGGAUGUCGUCGGCGGGAUGGACCUUUGGAACUUUGAUGACAUGCCAAUCUAUGGCGAAUUUUUCCUGAGGGAUUCAAACCCCUGUGUAUCGGAGGUAAGCCUUCGCAAUUUAGAUGUUCAGUCUGAAGUUGAUAAUCUUUUCAUUACUCUGAACUUUUUGUUCUGUGUUUAA
Molecule: ribosomal RNA, 1152 nt
Filed under: Triticum aestivum (bread wheat)
Lineage: Eukaryota; Viridiplantae; Streptophyta; Magnoliopsida; Poales; Poaceae
Description: partial small subunit ribosomal RNA
Source: RNAcentral